Clostridium pasteurianum BC1 is the source of this 86-nucleotide non-coding RNA. NCBI's taxonomy places the organism in Bacteria, Bacillati, Bacillota, Clostridia, Eubacteriales, Clostridiaceae. The record is from Rfam.
UAACCUUUACAGAGAUGUAAAGCUGAAAUCUGAGAAGUCAGCAGAUGUCAUAUUAGUAGAAGUGUCAUGAGACUUCUAUGAAGGAC